RNAcentral lists this ribosomal RNA (492 nucleotides) under uncultured bacterium. Its description in RNAcentral is "partial 16S ribosomal RNA". It matches the Rfam family "Bacterial small subunit ribosomal RNA", at positions 29 to 507 of the family's 1533-position model. The record is from RNAcentral.
AGUGAACGCUGGCGGUAGGCCUAACACAUGCAAGUCGAACGGCAGCACAGUAAGAGCUUGCUCUUACGGGUGGCGAGUGGCGGACGGGUGAGGAAUACAUCGGAAUCUACUUUUUCGUGGGGGAUAACGUAGGGAAACUUACGCUAAUACCGCAUACGACCUACGGGUGAAAGCAGGGGAUCUUCGGACCUUGCGCGAUUGAAUGAGCCGAUGUCGGAUUAGCUAGUUGGCGGGGUAAAGGCCCACCAAGGCGACGAUCCGUAGCUGGUCUGAGAGGAUGAUCAGCCACAAUGGAACUGGGACACGGUCCAGACUCCUACGGGAGGCAGCAGUGGGGAAUAUUGGACAAUGGGCGGAAGCCUGAUCCAGCCAUACCGCGUGGGUGAAGAAGGCCUUCGGGUUGUAAAGCCCUUUUGUUGGGAAAGAAAAGCAGCAGGUUAAUACCCCGCUGUUCUGACGGUACCCAAAGAAUAAGCACCGGCUAACUUCGUG